This is a long non-coding RNA of Homo sapiens (human), 884 nucleotides long. RefSeq lists it as uncharacterized. The transcript is spliced from 3 exons. The record is from RefSeq and is a predicted model, not a curated record. NCBI's taxonomy places the organism in Eukaryota, Metazoa, Chordata, Mammalia, Primates, Hominidae.
AGACAGACAUCACUCUUUAGAAUCCCUGCAACUUUGAGCAAGUUCGUGAAUCUCACUAAGGCUCAGUUUCCUCCAUAAAAUUAAUCAAUAUCAGGGCCUCUGCAUUGGACAACUCCAGAGGGCACCAUUGGGGUUAUACCUUGUGUUUGCCUAACCUUCAUUGCAGUGGGCAGGUGCAUGCUUUCUACAAUGUCCUAAGGUCUAAAGGGGUAGAGUUCUGUGUGUGGCAUUUUAGGCCUGGAAAGGAUGAGAGUCUACAAAACCAGAGAAAUACUGCAGCAAAUGGUCAAACCCAGGAGGGAAUGGUAUGAACCUCUGGUUUACAGCCAUUGGUAAGAAGCACACAUGACAACCUGGACUUUCCAUCAACAUUUGAAGCGGGAGCAGUCUUGUGGGAUCAAGCUCUUAACCUGUGGGGUCUGCUACUAACUCUGAAUCCAAUGAACACAUGGACCCAACACUCCUUUGGCCAAGUUGAUGAUUCUCCACCAUUUAUUUGCCUGCCUCACUAUACACUUCUAGCAAGCCACUGCAAGGCUGCAUUGCAGCUAAGAGGAAGCCCUCCUUGAAGGCUGCACAGCAAGGAGUGUUGGCAGAGUAGCUGGGUUUCCACUGGGAGAGCACGAGUCAGCAUCAUGCUGGGCUCAAGCAUGGAUAUGCACUGCUGCUGCCAGAGCAUCAUAAUUUGCAAGCAUUUAUCGAGUACCCUUCAUCUAAUUUUCAUCCUGCGGAAACUAGAAAUUGCUACACUUGCACACAAUAAACUUCUGGCAGUUAGCCUUCUAAACUGGGACACUACCAUUUGGGAGGGAAAAGACCUUUCUGGUGGUUAAAGAUGGGGCUUCCAGUUACUGCAUUUGUUUUAAUACAGUCUAUUCCAUAGA